CAGCCGCCGCGGGAAUACGAAGGGUGCAAGCGUUAAUCGGAAUUACUGGGCGUAAAGCGUGCGUAGGCGGAUUGUUAAGUCUGUUGUGAAAUCCCCGGGCUCAACCUGGGAAUGGCAAUGGAUACUGGCAAGCUAGAGUGUGUCAGAGGAUGGUGGAAUUCCCGGUGUAGCGGUGAAAUGCGUAGAGAUCGGGAGGAACAUCAGUGGCGAAGGCGGCCAUCUGGGACAACACUGACGCUGAGGCACGAAAGCGUGGGGAGCAAACAGGAUUAGAUACCCCCGUAGUCCCUGUCUCUUAUAC
Molecule: ribosomal RNA, 301 nt
Filed under: uncultured bacterium
Lineage: Bacteria
Description: partial 16S ribosomal RNA
Rfam family: Bacterial small subunit ribosomal RNA
Source: RNAcentral